Molecule: ribosomal RNA, 273 nt
Filed under: uncultured prokaryote
Description: partial 16S ribosomal RNA
Rfam family: Bacterial small subunit ribosomal RNA
Source: RNAcentral
CGUAGGGGCUAGCGUCAUCCGGAAUUACUGGGCGUAAAGGGUGCGUAGGUGGUUUCUUAAGUCAGAGGUGAAAGGCUACGGCUCAACCGUAGUAAGCCUUUGAAACUGGGAAACUUGAGUGCAGGAGAGGAGAGUGGAAUUCCAUGUGUAGCGGUGAAAUGCGUAGAUAUUAGGAGGAACACCAGUUGCGAAGGCGGCUCUCUGGACUGUAACUGACACUGAGGCACGAAAGCGUGGGGAGCAAACAGGAUUAGAUACCCCGGUAGUCCCUGA